RNAcentral lists this ribosomal RNA (335 nucleotides) under uncultured bacterium. Its description in RNAcentral is "bacterial SSU rRNA". It matches the Rfam family "Bacterial small subunit ribosomal RNA", at positions 568 to 898 of the family's 1533-position model. The record is from RNAcentral.
CGCGUAGGCGGCUUUGGUAAGUCAAAGGUGAAAUCCCUCGGCUCAACUGAGGAACUGCCUUUGAAACUGCCUGGCUUGAGGCCGGGAGGGGGUAGCGGAAUUCCCAAUGUAGCGGUGAAAUGCGUAGAUAAUUGGGAGGAACACCGGUAGGCGAAGGCGGCUACCUGGACCGGUUCUGACGCUGAUGCGCGAAAGCGUGGGGAGCAAACAGGAUUAGAUACCCUGGUAGUCCACGCUGUAAACGAUGGGUACUCGGUGUCGUGGGUAUCGACCCCUACGGUGCCUUAGCUAACGCGUUAAGUACCCCGCCUGGGGAGUACGGUCGCAAGGCUGAA